Molecule: ribosomal RNA, 445 nt
Filed under: uncultured bacterium
Lineage: Bacteria
Description: partial 16S ribosomal RNA
Rfam family: Bacterial small subunit ribosomal RNA
Source: RNAcentral
GUGAGGAAUAUUGGGCAAUGGGCGCAAGCCUGACCCAGCCAUGCCGCGUGCAGGAAGACGGUCCUAUGGAUUGUAAACUGCUUUUAUACGGGAAGAAACACUCCCUCGUGAGGGAGCUUGACGGUACCGUAAGAAUAAGGAUCGGCUAACUCCGUGCCAGCAGCCGCGGUAAUACGGAGGAUCCAAGCGUUAUCCGGAAUCAUUGGGUUUAAAGGGUCCGUAGGCGGCCUUAUAAGUCAGUGGUGAAAUCCCAUCGCUCAACGAUGGAACUGCCAUUGAUACUGUAAGGCUUGAAUAAUUGUGAAGUAACUAGAAUAUGUAGUGUAGCGGUGAAAUGCUUAGAUAUUACAUGGAAUACCAAUUGCGAAGGCAGGUUACUAACAAUUGAUUGACGCUGAUGGACGAAAGCGUGGGGAGCGAACAGGAUUAGAUACCCGGGUAGUCC